This 405-nucleotide ribosomal RNA is filed under the name Pseudomonas aeruginosa. RNAcentral's name for it is "bacterial SSU rRNA". It matches the Rfam family "Bacterial small subunit ribosomal RNA", at positions 1077 to 1477 of the family's 1533-position model. Lineage: Bacteria; Pseudomonadati; Pseudomonadota; Gammaproteobacteria; Pseudomonadales; Pseudomonadaceae. The record is from RNAcentral.
GAGUUAAGUCCCGUAACGAGCGCAACCCUUGUCCUUAGUUACCAGCGCCUCGGGUGGGCACUCUAAGGAGACUGCCGGUGACAAACCGGAGGAAGGUGGGGAUGACGUCAAGUCAUCAUGGCCCUUACGGCCAGGGCUACACACGUGCUACAAUGGUCGGUACAAAGGGUUGCCAAGCCGCGAGGUGGAGCUAAUCCCAUAAAACCGAUCGUAGUCCGGAUCGCAGUCUGCAACUCGACUGCGUGAAGUCGGAAUCGCUAGUAAUCGUGAAUCAGAAUGUCACGGUGAAUACGUUCCCGGGCCUUGUACACACCGCCCGUCACACCAUGGGAGUGGGUUGCUCCAGAAGUAGCUAGUCUAACCGCAAGGGGGACGGUUAACCAUCGGAAUUAAUCCUUAUUUCCA